RNAcentral lists this unclassified non-coding RNA (303 nucleotides) under Myxococcus sp. 102. Its description in RNAcentral is "partial RNAseP RNA". It matches the Rfam family "Bacterial RNase P class A", at positions 60 to 320 of the family's 367-position model. Rfam says of the family: Ribonuclease P (RNase P) is a ubiquitous endoribonuclease, found in archaea, bacteria and eukarya as well as chloroplasts and mitochondria. The record is from RNAcentral. Lineage: Bacteria; Pseudomonadati; Myxococcota; Myxococcia; Myxococcales; Myxococcaceae.
CAGAGGGCAGGGUGCUGGCUAACGGCCAGUCGAGGCGACUCGCAGGAAAGUGCCACAGAAAACAGACCGCCCGUUCCGCAAGGGGCGGGUAAGGGUGAAACGGUGCGGUAAGAGCGCACCGCGUCCGGGGUGACUCGGACGGCUCGGUAAACCCCACCUGGAGCAAGAGCCAAUAGGAGCGCGUCCCCGCCGUCCGGGGGACAGGGGUUGCCCGCCCCAUGCGUUCGGGUUGCUCGCUGAUGAGGCCCCUGGGCAACCAGGGCCCUAGAUGAAUGUUCAUCGCCCGUCCCGAAAGGGGCGGGA